Molecule: ribosomal RNA, 609 nt
Filed under: uncultured bacterium
Lineage: Bacteria
Description: bacterial SSU rRNA
Rfam family: Bacterial small subunit ribosomal RNA
Source: RNAcentral
CCUACGGGAGGCAGCAGUGGGGAAUUUUGGACAAUGGGCGAAAGCCUGAUCCAGCAAUGCCGCGUGUGGGAAGAAGGCCUUCGGGUUGUAAACCACUUUUGUACGGAACGAAACGGUUCGCUUUAAUACAGUGGGCUAAUGACGGUACCGUAAGAAUAAGCACCGGCUAACUACGUGCCAGCAGCCGCGGUAAUACGUAGGGUGCGAGCGUUAAUCGGAAUUACUGGGCGUAAAGCGUGCGCAGGCGGUCAUAUAAGACAGUUGUGAAAUCCCCGGGCUCAACCUGGGAAUUGCAUCUGUGACUGUAUAGCUAGAGUACGGUAGAGGGGGAUGGAAUUCCGCGUGUAGCAGUGAAAUGCGUAGAUAUGCGGAGGAACACCGAUGGCGAAGGCAAUCCCCUGGACCUGUACUGACGCUCAUGCACGAAAGCGUGGGGAGCGAAACAGGAUUAGAUACCCUGGUAGUCCACGCCCUAAACGAUGUCAACUGGUUGUUGGGUGCAUUAGUACUCAGUACGAAGCUAACGCGUGAAGUUGACCGCCUGGGGAGUACGGCCGCAAGGUUGAAACUUCAAGAAUUGNGNGNGNGNGNGCGAGNGAGAGAGGAGAG